Molecule: unclassified non-coding RNA, 301 nt
Organism: Cebus imitator (Panamanian white-faced capuchin)
Lineage: Eukaryota; Metazoa; Chordata; Mammalia; Primates; Cebidae
Rfam family: Metazoan signal recognition particle RNA
About the family: The signal recognition particle (SRP) is a universally conserved ribonucleoprotein. It is involved in the co-translational targeting of proteins to membranes.
Source: Ensembl
GCUGGGUAUGGUGGUGGGCACCUAUAGUCCCAGCUACUCAGGAGGCUGUGGGGUGGGAGGAUUGGUUGAGCCCAGGAGUUCUGGCCUGUAGUGUGCAAUGCCAAUCAGGUAUCAGUACUAAGUUUAGCAUCAAUAUGGUGACCUUAUAGGAGCAGAGGCCACCAGUUUGCCUAAGGAAGGGUGAACCAGCCUAGGUUGGAAACCAAAGGUCAGAACUUGUAUUCUCAUCACUAGUGGGAUCAUACCUGUGAAUGAAUAGCUGCUGCAUUCAGCCUGGACAACAAAGUGAGAUGUUUUCUCU